This 462-nucleotide ribosomal RNA is filed under the name uncultured bacterium. Its description in RNAcentral is "partial 16S ribosomal RNA". It matches the Rfam family "Bacterial small subunit ribosomal RNA", at positions 28 to 507 of the family's 1533-position model. The record is from RNAcentral.
GAUAAACGCUGGCGGCGUGCUUAACACAUGCAAGUCGAACGAAGUUUUUCCUUCGGGAGAAACUUAGUGGCGGACGGGGGAGUAACGCGUGGGUAACCUGCCCUGUACAGGGGGACAACAGCUGGAAACGGCUGCUAAUACCGCAUAAGCCCUUAGCACUGCAUGGUGCAUAGGGAAAAGGAGCAAUCCGGGACAGGAUGGACCCGCGUCUGAUUAGCCAGUUGGCAGGGUAACUGCCUACCAAAGCGACGAUCAGUAGCCGAUCUGAGAGGAUGUACGGCCACAUUGGGACUGAGACACGGCCCAGACUCCUACGGGAGGCGGCAGUGGGGAAUAUUGCACAAUGGAGGAAACUCUGAUGCAGCGACGCCGCGUGAGUGAAGAAGUAUUUCGGUAUGUAAAGCUCUAUCAGCAGGGAAGAAAAUGACGGUACCUGACUAAGAAGCACCGGCUAAAUACGUG